GAUGAACGCUAGCGGCAGGCCUAAUACAUGCAAGACGAACGGUAAGUUGAGUAGCAAUACUUAGCCAAGAGUGUCGUACGGGUGCGUAACACGUAUGCAACCUACCCUAUACAGGAGGAUAGCCUAGGGAAACCUGGAUUAACCCUUCAUAGUAUUAUUGGAUGGCAUCAUUUGAUAAUUAAAACUGAGGUGGUAUAGGAUGGGCAUGCGUCUGAUUAGUUAGUUGGCGGGGUAAUGGCCCACCAAGACGAUGAUCAGUAGGGGUUCUGAGAGGAAGAUCCCCCCACACUGGCACUGAGAUACGGGCCAGACUCCUACGGGAGGCAGCAGUAGGGAAUAUUGGUCAAUGGAUGCAAGUCUGAACCAGCCAUGCCGCGUGCAGGAAGAAGGCCUUCUGGGUUGUAAACUGCUUUUGCCAGGGGAUAAAAUUUCCAUGCGUGGAAAACUGAAGGUACCUGGUGAAUAAGCCAGGCUAACUACGUGCCAGCAGCCGC
This 494-nucleotide ribosomal RNA is filed under the name uncultured bacterium. RNAcentral's name for it is "bacterial SSU rRNA". It matches the Rfam family "Bacterial small subunit ribosomal RNA", at positions 28 to 518 of the family's 1533-position model. The record is from RNAcentral.